Molecule: ribosomal RNA, 370 nt
Filed under: uncultured organism
Description: partial 16S ribosomal RNA
Rfam family: Bacterial small subunit ribosomal RNA
Source: RNAcentral
GUAGGGAGCAAGCGUUAUCCGGAUUUACUGGGUGUAAAGGGCGCGCAGGCGGGAAGACAAGUUGGGAGUGAAAUCCGGGGGCUCAACCCCCGAACUGCUUUCAAAACUGUUUUUCUUGAGUGAUGGAGAGGCAGGCGGAAUUCCCAGUGUAGCGGUGAAAUGCGUAGAUAUUGGGAGGAACACCAGUGGCGAAGGCGGCCUGCUGGACAUUAACUGACGCUGAGGCGCGAAAGCGUGGGGAGCAAACAGGAUUAGAUACCCUGGUAGUCCACGCCGUAAACGAUGGAUACUAGGUGUGGGAGGUAUUGACCCCUUCGUGCCGGCGUUAACACAAUAAGUAUCCCACCUGGGGAGUACGAUCGCAAGGUUG